RNAcentral lists this ribosomal RNA (416 nucleotides) under uncultured bacterium. Its description in RNAcentral is "bacterial SSU rRNA". It matches the Rfam family "Bacterial small subunit ribosomal RNA", at positions 356 to 773 of the family's 1533-position model. The record is from RNAcentral.
AGGGAAUAUUGCGCAAUGGAGGGAACUCUGACGCAGCGACGCCGCGUGAGCGAUGAAGGUCUUCGGAUCGUAAAGCUCUGUCCUUGGGGAAGAAGGGAGCCGUAAGGCUUCUUGACGGUACCCAUGGAGGAAGCCCCGGCUAACUACGUGCCAGCAGCCGCGGUAAUACGUAGGGGGCAAGCGUUGUCCGGAAUUAUUGGGCGUAAAGGGUGCGUAGGCGGCCCUUUAAGUCAGAUGUGAAAGCCCACGUCUUAACCGUGGGACUGCAUUUGAAACUGGAGGGCUUGAGUGUCGGAGAGGGCAGUGGAAUUCCCAGUGUAGCGGUGGAAUGCGUAGAUAUUGGGAGGAACACCAGUGGCGAAGGCGACUGCCUGGACGAUAACUGACGCUGAGGCACGAAAGCUAGGGGAGCAAAC